RNAcentral lists this ribosomal RNA (41 nucleotides) under Apophysomyces elegans. Its description in RNAcentral is "partial 28S ribosomal RNA". Lineage: Eukaryota; Fungi; Mucoromycota; Mucoromycetes; Mucorales; Mucoraceae. The record is from RNAcentral.
CUGAAAUCAGGUGGGACUACCCGCUGAACUUAAGCAUAUCA